AUGUGGUCCACAAUUCAAAACUUAAAGGCGAUCAAUGAUUUACCUUGGCUGGUCAUCGGUGACUUCAACGAAGCUAUGUGGAAUUUUGAGCAUCUCUCUCUAACCCCCCGACCAGAACCACAGAUGGCAGCAUUCAGAGACACUUUAAUUCUUUGUGAGCUUGUGGAUCUCGGUUUUGUGGGGGUUCCUUAUACAUAUGACAAUAUGCGAAGUGGAGGAGCAAAUGUUCGUGUACGUCUCGAUCGAGCAGUAGCAACUAAUUCAUGGCGAAACCUGUUUGCUUUCUCUUCAGUCUCACAUCUGGCUUCAGGUAGUUCAGAUCACGUGCCUUUGUUGCUGCGUGGCUUGGCUGAUACACAGAAACCGACAGCAGGUAGCAUGCAGUAUGAGAUCUUUUGGGAAACAGAUGCUGGUCUACCAGAGGUAAUUAAAAAGGCAUGGGAAUCUUUUGGUGUGCUGGAUGACUUGGGGAAGGUAAAUAUUGCUUUACGGAAGAACAUGUCUACUCUUCGAACAUGGAGCAAGAAGCGGUUCGGUAAUGUUACUAGAGAGAUUAAUAAAACACUUUCGUGCUUGGAGGAGUUGAUGAAUAUGAACGCAGACCGUCGGGAGAUUCGGGCAGCGUCCGACAAAUUAAAUGAGCUACUUUAUAAGGAGGAAAUGUUGUGGCUUCAGAGAUCAUGCAUUGCAUGGCUCAAAGAAGGUGAUAGAAAUACAAAAUACUUCCAGAGUAAAGCAAGAUGGAGGGCUAGGAAAAACAGAAUUCGGGAAUUGGUAGAUGACGAGGGUAUAUCUCAUUCGGAUGAACAAGACAUGGGUUCCAUGGCUACACAGUAUUUCCAGAACAUGUACUGUUCGGAUCCUAAUUUGGAUGCCACGACUAUUGUUAGUCUUUUUGAUCCCGUUGUUUCUGAGGAUGAUAAUUUGAAACUUUGCACCGAGUUUUCUGACAAGGAAAUAUCUGAUGCUCUCUUCCAAAUAAGACCUUUGAAAGCGCCAGAACCUGAUGGGUUUCCAGCACGGUUCUUUCAGCGGAAUUGGGAUACUUUGAAAGGAAAUAUUAUUAUUGCAGUUAGGGAAUUCUUCAAAACCGGAGUCAUGCCGGAAGGGGUAAACGAUACAAGUAUUGUCCUUAUUCCAAAACUUGCUAACCCCAUUAAGCUCUCCGAUUUCAGGCCCAUUAGCUUAUGCAAUGUGGUUUACAAAGUGGUGUCAAAGUGUUUAGUGAAUAGAUUGAUGCCUCUUUUGGAUGAUAUUAUAUCCCUUGAACAAAGUGCCUUUGUACCUGGACGGAUGAUCGCGGACAAUGCUUUAGUUGCCUUCGAAUGCUUUCACUACAUAAAGCAGGAAAAGGACCCAACAAAAAGUUUUUGCUCUUACAAACUUGAUCUUUCUAAAGCAUACGACAGGGUGGAUUGGCGUUUCUUGAAGCAAGUGAUGCAAAAGUUGGGUUUUGCUCAGCGAUGGAUUGACUGGAUAAUGACAUGUGUCACAUCGGUGAGAUAUUCUGUUAAAUUCAAUGGGACCCUCUUGGAUUCAUUUGCACCGUCACGCGGGCUUCGGCAAGGUGACCCACUUUCACCGUUUAUGUUUUUAUUUGUGGCUGAUGGUCUCUCUGCUAUUUUAAAACAUGGUGUUGCAUCCAAUAGUAUUACCCCAGUUAAGAUUUGUCGCCGUGCUCCCGGGAUCUCGCAUCUAUUAUUUGCGGAUGACACUCUGUUGUUUUUUGAAGCCUCUCGUGCUCAAGCAGAAAACGUGAAAGGUUGUCUAGAUCUUUACGCAAAGGCCACGGGUCAAUGCUUGAACUAUAAUAAAUGCUCAAUUUUGUUUGGGGAUUCAUGUCCUGUUGAUUCACAAAAUGAGGUGAGAGGUACCCUAGAUGUCAUAAAUUGGGUGUUUUAA
RNAcentral lists this ribosomal RNA (1902 nucleotides) under Triticum aestivum (bread wheat). Its description in RNAcentral is "partial small subunit ribosomal RNA". The record is from RNAcentral. Lineage: Eukaryota; Viridiplantae; Streptophyta; Magnoliopsida; Poales; Poaceae.